This 112-nucleotide transfer RNA is filed under the name Candidatus Woesearchaeota archaeon. RNAcentral describes it as "tRNA-Gly". Lineage: Archaea; Nanobdellati; Candidatus Woesearchaeota. The record is from RNAcentral.
GCGCCGGUGGUCUAAUGGCUACACGCAUGUGCCAUAAAUGACUGUGGCCUUCCAAGCCAUAUAUCUGGGUUCAAAAAGGUCAGAAAAACCUGUGAGAUUCCCAGCCGGCGCA